CAGUCGCCGCGGGAAUACGAAGGGGGCUAGCGUUGUUCGGAUUAACUGGGCGUAAAGGGCGCGUAGGCGGGUUUUUAAGUCAGAGGUGAAAUCCCAAGGCUCAACCUUGGAACUGCCUUUGAUACUGGAAGUCUUGAGUCCGGGAGAGGUGAGUGGAACUGCGAGUGUAGAGGUGAAAUUCGUAGAUAUUCGCAAGAACACCAGUGGCGAAGGCGGCUCACUGGCCCGGUACUGACGCUGAGGCGCGAAAGCGUGGGGAGCAAACAGGAUUAGAUACCCCAGUAGUCCCUGUCUCUUAUAC
This 301-nucleotide ribosomal RNA is filed under the name uncultured bacterium. RNAcentral's name for it is "partial 16S ribosomal RNA". It matches the Rfam family "Bacterial small subunit ribosomal RNA", at positions 509 to 807 of the family's 1533-position model. The record is from RNAcentral.